This is a non-coding RNA of Onychomys torridus (southern grasshopper mouse), 453 nucleotides long. NCBI's taxonomy places the organism in Eukaryota, Metazoa, Chordata, Mammalia, Rodentia, Cricetidae. The record is from the annotation of a RefSeq genome assembly.
AUGAAAACACAUGCUCCUACUUUAUUCAUGUUUCUGUGGCUGCAGCUGGAUGGGAUGAUCCAAGGUGAGCAGGUGGAGCAGCAUCCUUCCAUCCUGAGAGUCCAGGAGGGUGCCAGCGCUGUCAUCAACUGCACUUAUGGAGACAGUGCCUCGUCCUACUUCCCUUGGUAUAAGCAAGGGCCUGGAGAGCAUCCUCAGCUCAUUAUUGACAUUCGUUCAACUGUGGAAAGAAAGCAGGAGCAAAGACUGAUCCUUUUACAGGAUAAGAAAGCCAAACAUCUCUCCCUGCACAUCACAGACACUCGGCCUCGAGACUCUGCCAUGUACUUCUGUGCUGCAAGUGCACACUGCUCCACAUGCACCUGCAGCCUGUCCUCAAACCUGCCGCAGGGCCUGGAGCCCCAUCCACAUCCUGUGUCUCAGGCCUCCAGUGCAGCAUGUGUCAGUUGUUAG